AAAGGGCUAAUUAAUUAAAAAAGUUACUGUGGUAAAAUUAUUUUAAAUAAUUAAUUUGCAAUGAAAUGUUAUUCGUUUUUAAAUAUAUCUAGUUUUUUAAGAAAAAAAUUUAAUUUUAAAUUUUUAGGGAAGAAAUAAUUAAUUAAUUAAUUAUUUUCGGAAAAAAUUUUAUAUUUUAGGGGAUAAGCUUUAAAUUAAAAAUUUAUAAUAAUUUAAAUUAAAUUAUUGAAAAUUAUAUAAUUUAAAUUGUUAAUAAAAUUUAAUUUGUUAUAAAUAAUUUCAUUAAAAUAAAAAUUUAAUUUAAUUUAAUUUUUUAUUAAAAAAUAUUUUAAAAUUAAUUAAAAUUAGAUAUAAUGAUAAAAUUAGUAUAUAUUUAUUAAAGUAAAUUUUAUUUUUAGUUUAAUUUAAUUAAUAAAAAGGAAUUCGGCAAAUACUUAUAUUCACUUGUUUAACAAAAACAUGUCUUUUUGUAAUUAAUUUAAAGUCUAAUCUGCCCACUGAUUUAAUUAUUAAAGGGCUGCAGUAUAUUGACUGUACAAAGGUAGCAUAAUCAUUAGUCAUUUAAUUGAUGACUUGUAUGAAAGAUUGGAUGAAAUAUUAACUGUCUCUUUAUUAAUAUAUAAAAUUUAAUUUUUUAAUUAAAAAGUUAAAAUAAAUUAAAAAGACGAGAAGACCCUAUAGAGUUUGAUAAAUAAAUUUAUUUAAAGUUAUUUAUAAUUUUAUAUUCUAAAAUAAAUUUAUUUAUUUUGUUGGGGUGACAAAAAAAUAAAAUUAACUUUUUUUAAUUUAUAAACAUAAAUAAAUGAAAAUUUGAUCCAAUUUUAUUGAUUAAAAGAAAAAAUUACCUUAGGGAUAACAGCGUAAUUUUUUUUUUUAGUACAAAUAAGAAAAAGAGUUUGCGACCUCGAUGUUGGAUUAAGAUAAAAUUUAAAUGCAAAAGUUUAAAAUUUUG
Molecule: ribosomal RNA, 952 nt
Filed under: Esakiopteryx volitans
Lineage: Eukaryota; Metazoa; Arthropoda; Insecta; Lepidoptera; Geometridae
Description: partial 16S rRNA
Source: RNAcentral